GUAAUGGAGGGCCUCUUCCAUCUAAAUGCCAACGUGGGCAGAGUAUUUACCUGCUAAACCAUUACACCGCAGGUGUAAUACUCUUUGGCGAAAGAGACCAAAUGAGACAACACAGCUUGCCAAGGACUGACUUCAGCUUGUACCAAGCAAUACUCUCAUUUGUGAAUGUUGGAGGAGUACACUGGAAACUACUGUACAUAAUUCCUGCCACAUGCUCGGUCUUUUUGGUGGAUCCAAUGGAGAACAAAGCCGAGGAAGCAGAGUCCUAAAAUCAACUUUUUCAUAAAGUUGGAUUUUACAUUUAGGUAGAUUUGCCUGAAGAAAUCAGUGUAAAAUAAUUAACAAAAUUUCAAAGAUGACAAUAGCAUCUGGUAUGAUAUCAUGCACCUUUUUUUGUUAAAAGGUUGCAAAUAACAGAAUAAGACAGAGAUCCCAAAAAGCUGUCAAUUAAAGCAGUUAUUUGGCUUUGCUGAUUAGAAGGUUAUUAUUAUUUAAACCUGACAUUGAGAUUGUUAUUGCAUGUAGUUUGAUACCUCCAUGUGUUUUCCAAAGUGAAUUCCUGAAGAUGAGAAAGAUCUGCCACGCAAAGAAUGACUGGGGGAGUAUAAAGUGGAGAGGAGCCAGCAUGCCCCAUCCUCUUAGACAGGACAGCAGUAGUUGUGGGGUCAUCGUCACCAUGAUGGCGAAGGCAGUGAUGGAGGCAUUUCCAGCAUUGUCACUCAUGUCCUUUGGGACAUCCAAGAAGGAGAUGGCUAAUGCGAGGACUAAGUUUGGACUUGGAUUACUCAGUGGUUCAGUGUUUGACAUGGACAACCACUGUGCAAUGUGCUCUGCCUCGAAGCCCCCAGGAUCAGGGCCUACAACUACUGAUGGAUAAUGUGUGACACAUGCCAGAGGUGGUACCAUUAGCAGUGUCUGGGGAUGAGUAAAGACCAACUCCUACAAGCAAGGGCAAGCAAGUGGGAUUGUGUCCUUUGCAAUUAGGACAUUUUAUUUUGUGGAGAGAUGUACAAAAAGAAAAAGUACCAAGUUCAUUGAAUAAAAAACUAUUACAGUAUCCAUCGAUGUAGACUACGAAAGUGGUGUAGCAAAGUUGAAAGAUGAAGACCCUAUGCCGCUGCCUAGAGGUUCAGUGGUGGAACUCCUGGUGGGGUGAAAUGGUUUCUGCAAAGACGCAUGCUGGUCUGUAGAGUAAUGGAGUUUGGGUGUCCCCGAACCUUUUCUUAAUCAUCAAAAUUAGGAUUCCUAUACUUGCAAGAUCACAUUAUUAUUCCACUGUGAUCCUACAAAGAGAAAAGCAUUAAAAUAUUUAAGUGAACAGCAAUGAAGCCCACG
RNAcentral lists this long non-coding RNA (1335 nucleotides) under Gadus morhua (Atlantic cod). Its description in RNAcentral is "lncRNA (ENSGMOG00000029198.1)". The record is from RNAcentral. Lineage: Eukaryota; Metazoa; Chordata; Actinopteri; Gadiformes; Gadidae.